GAUGAACGCUAGCUACAGGCUUAACACAUGCAAGUCGAGGGGAAACGCUGAGAGAGCUUGCUCUCUUAGGCGUCGACCGGCGCACGGGUGAGUAACGCGUAUCCAACCUACCCAUUACAGGGGGAUAACCUUGCGAAAGUAAGACUAAUACCCCAUGGCAUUUUAUGGUGGCAUCAUUAUAGGAUUAAAGAUUUAUUGGUAAUGGAUGGGGAUGCGUCUGAUUAGCUUGUUGGCGGGGUAACGGCCCACCAAGGCAACGAUCAGUAGGGGUUCUGAGAGGAAGGUCCCCCACAUUGGAACUGAGACACGGUCCAAACUCCUACGGGAGGCAGCAGUGAGGAAUAGUGGUCAAUGGGCGAGAGCUUGAACCAGCCAAGUAGCGUGCAGGAGGACGGCCCUAUGGGUUGUAAACUGCUUUUAUAGGGGAAUAAAGUGAGCUACGUGUAGUUUAUUGCAUGUACCCUAUGAAUAAGGACCGGCUAAUUCCGUG
Molecule: ribosomal RNA, 490 nt
Filed under: uncultured bacterium
Lineage: Bacteria
Description: partial 16S ribosomal RNA
Rfam family: Bacterial small subunit ribosomal RNA
Source: RNAcentral